This 433-nucleotide ribosomal RNA is filed under the name uncultured bacterium. Its description in RNAcentral is "bacterial SSU rRNA". It matches the Rfam family "Bacterial small subunit ribosomal RNA", at positions 960 to 1392 of the family's 1533-position model. The record is from RNAcentral.
CGCGAAGAACCUUACCUACUCUUGACAUCCAGAGAACUUUCCAGAGAUGGAUUGGUGCCUUCGGGAACUCUGGGACAGGUGCUGCAUGGCUGUCGUCAGCUCGUGUUGUGAAAUGUUGGGUUAAGUCCCGCAACGAGCGCAACCCUUAUCCUUUGUUGCCAGCGCGUGAUGGCGGGAACUCAAAGGAGACUGCCGGUGAUAAACCGGAGGAAGGUGGGGAUGACGUCAAGUCAUCAUGGCCCUUACGAGUAGGGCUACACACGUGCUACAAUGGCGUAUACAAAGGGAAGCGAUCCUGCGAAGGCAAGCGGAACUCAUAAAGUACGUCGUAGUCCGGAUUGGAGUCUGCAACUCGACUCCAUGAAGUCGGAAUCGCUAGUAAUCGUAGAUCAGAAUGCUACGGUGAAUACGUUCCCGGGCCUUGUACACACCG